Molecule: long non-coding RNA, 203 nt
Organism: Amblyraja radiata (thorny skate)
Lineage: Eukaryota; Metazoa; Chordata; Chondrichthyes; Rajiformes; Rajidae
Exons: 3
Source: RefSeq, a predicted model, not a curated record
UUCUCCUGCUUUCCCUGUGACUGCGUGGCUUUCCUCCAGAUGUUCCGUUGUCCUAAAGACAUGCGGGCUUGUCGGUUCAUUGGCCCACUGGAAAUUGCCCCCCGGUGUGUCAAAGUGAAUGGGAAAGUGGGAUAGCAUAGAGCUAGCAUGAUCGGGCGAUCGAUAGUCGGCCAUGGACUCGGAAGGCCUGUUUCCAUGCUGUG